AGUGAACGCUGGCGGCAGGCCUAACACAUGCAAGUCGAACGGUAACAGGAUACGGCUUGCUGUUUCGCGGACGAGAGGCGGGGGGGUGUGAAAUGUCUGGGGAACUGCAUGAUGUAGGGGGGGAACUCGUGGAGACGGUUACUAUUACAGCAUAAAGUCGCAAGAGCAGAGAGGGGGGGCCUCGGGCACCUUGCGCGCUGGUGUGCGCCGAUGGGGUUAGCUCGUUGGUGGGGUAUAGGCUCACCAAGGCGACGAUCCCUAGCUGGUCUGAGAGGAUGAUCAGCCACACUGGAACUGAGACACGGUCCAGACUCCUACGGGAGGCAGCAGUGGGGAAUAUUGGACAAUGGGCGCAAGCCUGAUGCAGCCAUGCCGCGUGUAUGAAGAAGGCCUUCGGGUUGUAAAGUACUUUCAGCGGGGAGGAAAAGAGUAAAGUUAAUACCUCUGCUCAUUGACGUUACCCGCAGAAGAAGCACCGGCUAACUCCGUG
RNAcentral lists this ribosomal RNA (490 nucleotides) under uncultured bacterium. Its description in RNAcentral is "partial 16S ribosomal RNA". It matches the Rfam family "Bacterial small subunit ribosomal RNA", at positions 30 to 507 of the family's 1533-position model. The record is from RNAcentral.